GUGAAUCAUCGAAUCUUUGAACGCAAAUUGCACUCUCUGGCAUCCCGGAGAGUAUGCCUGUUUGAGGGUCAGUUUAAUAAAAAUCGGCGUGUCGCUUUCGGGUUGCACCGGAGGUUGGGUGUUCUUAUCUUUCGUAUAAGAGUCUUAAAAUGGAUAUAUUUUUUGCGUGCUUUUUGAAGUACAUAAUUUUUUUAUUCGUUUAUUCCGUUACCAAAAUUUACU
RNAcentral lists this unclassified non-coding RNA (222 nucleotides) under Glomeraceae sp. RNAcentral's name for it is "partial contains 5.8S ribosomal RNA and internal transcribed spacer 2". The stretch from base 1 to 71 matches the Rfam family "5.8S ribosomal RNA", at positions 84 to 154 of the family's 154-position model. Lineage: Eukaryota; Fungi; Glomeromycota; Glomeromycetes; Glomerales; Glomeraceae. The record is from RNAcentral.